CCUACGGGAGGCAGCAGUGGGGAAUAUUGGGCAAUGGGCUCAAGCCUGACCCAGCAAUGCCGCGUGACGGAAGAAGGCUUUCGGGUUUUACACUUCUUUGACAGGGGAAGAGCAGAAGACGGUACCCUGAAAACAAGCCACGGCUAACUACGUGCCAGCAGCCGCGGUAAUAAGGAGGGGGCAAGCUUUGUCCGGAUUUACUGGGUGGAAAGGGCGUGUAGCCGGGAAAGCAAGUCAGAUGUGAAAUCUGGAGGCUCAAACUCCAAGAUGCAUGUUAAACUGUUUUUCUUGAGUACUGGAGGGGCAGACGGAAUUCCGUGUGUAGCGGUGAAAUGCGUAGAUAUAAGGAGGAACACCAGGGGCGAAGGCGGUCUGCUGGACAGCAACUGACGGUGAGGCGCGAAAGCGUGGGGAGCAAACAGGAUUAGAGACCCCUGUAGUC
RNAcentral lists this ribosomal RNA (442 nucleotides) under uncultured bacterium. Its description in RNAcentral is "partial 16S ribosomal RNA". It matches the Rfam family "Bacterial small subunit ribosomal RNA", at positions 338 to 795 of the family's 1533-position model. The record is from RNAcentral.